This 395-nucleotide ribosomal RNA is filed under the name uncultured Sphingobacteriales bacterium. Its description in RNAcentral is "bacterial SSU rRNA". It matches the Rfam family "Bacterial small subunit ribosomal RNA", at positions 989 to 1382 of the family's 1533-position model. The record is from RNAcentral. Lineage: Bacteria; Pseudomonadati; Bacteroidota; Sphingobacteriia; Sphingobacteriales.
AAGUGACUGUAGGUGAAAGCUUACAUCUCUUCGGAGCAUUUUACGUAGGUGCUGCAUGGUUGUCGUCAGCUCGUGCCGUGAGGUGUCGGGUUAAGUCCCACUAACGAGCGCAACCCCUACCUUUAGUUGCCAUCAGGUAAUGCUGGGGACUCUAAAGGAACUGCCUACGCAAGUAGUGGGGAAGGCGGGGAGUGACGUCAAAUCAGCACGGCCCUUACGUCCAGGGCUACACACGUGCUACAAUGGCCGAUACAGAGGGCAGCUACCUGGUGACAGGAUGCAAAUCUCCAAAGUCGGUCUCAGUUCGGAUCGGAGUCUGCAACCCGACUCCGUGAAGUUGGAUUCGCUAGUAAUCGCGCAUCAGCCAUGGCGCGGUGAAUACGUUCCCGGGCCUU